GGCUUCAUAGCUCAGUUGGUUAGAGGGUCGCACCGGUAUCGCGAGGUUCAAACCCCGUUGAGGUCC
This 66-nucleotide transfer RNA is filed under the name Acropora cervicornis. Its description in RNAcentral is "tRNA-OTHER". Lineage: Eukaryota; Metazoa; Cnidaria; Anthozoa; Scleractinia; Acroporidae. The record is from RNAcentral.